This 888-nucleotide long non-coding RNA is filed under the name Homo sapiens (human). RNAcentral describes it as "novel transcript". The record is from RNAcentral. Lineage: Eukaryota; Metazoa; Chordata; Mammalia; Primates; Hominidae.
GGAUGGUCUCGAUCUCCUGACCUCGUGAUCCGCCCGCCUCGGCCUCCCAAAGUGCUGGGACGACAGGCGUGAGCCGCCGCGCCCGGCCCCCAACAGAUGCAGGAGUACGGAAUCAGAUGCCCACAAAGUGCAGAGACAUGUUUCUGAGUGUUACCGGGAGCCAGCCAGGCAGAGCUGCAGUGUGGGAGCCCGGCCUCAGAACGGGACACCCCACCAUCGAUCAGGAGACUGGCUUCUGCCCAUCUGCUCUUUAAGCCUGUGUCUCAGAUGGUGUGAAAUAGGGAUCACCCUGAGAGAAAGCUGUCACUGCAAGAUUCCGGGAUACACUGCCUUCAUUUUUAUAAAUGCAUGCAAUUAGCUAUGACUUUUAAAUUGGCACCAUGGUGAACAAGCAUGUCUCAAGCAUACAUGCCAAGUAUUACAAGCCGUUUUUCAAUGGCUUCAACUUCCUCAGCUCCAAAACCUUGGAUCUCACUCCAACUCAGCAUCUACUAUUAUGUUCUGUGUCUCCAUUAUAUUAGAUUUGCAGGAGGUUAACGAGAAGCACAGCACAUAAUUCACAUGAAUAGGCUUUGAAACCUAAGUGUGAUGAAAAGUAUUAUUAUUACUGUUAUGCAAAGUCCUUGCAGCAAAAAUUACAUUAUCCUUUUUCCAAAUAUAUUGUGAACCUAUUGCUGCGCUAGAAUUCAGAUCUAGGCUUUCUUAAAACUCCAUUUGUGAUGCUUGCACUUACUUCAUAAACUUCCUUGGGUAUGAAAACACUUAAGUUUUCUUUUCUCCCCAAUGCCCCAGGCAGUUGACAGGUGGAUAAUGACAUCAACAGGCAGGUGGCCAUCAAAGACUCAGGGUAGGUGUGUUUUUGUGAGACCCCAGGUGGUUGAUUUCUGU